This 252-nucleotide ribosomal RNA is filed under the name uncultured bacterium. RNAcentral's name for it is "partial 16S ribosomal RNA". It matches the Rfam family "Bacterial small subunit ribosomal RNA", at positions 525 to 776 of the family's 1533-position model. The record is from RNAcentral.
ACGGAGGGGGUUAGCGUUGUUCGGAAUUACUGGGCGUAAAGCGUACGUAGGCGGAUUGGAAAGUAAGAGGUGAAAUCCCAGGGCUCAACCCUGGAACUGCCUUUUAAACUCCCAGUCUUGAGUUCGAGAGAGGUGAGUGGAAUUCCGAGUGUAGAGGUGAAAUUCGUAGAUAUUCGGAGGAACACCAGUGGCGAAGGCGGCUCACUGGCUCGAUACUGACGCUGAGGUACGAAAGUGUGGGGAGCAAACAGG